CGAACGGGUGAGUAAUACAUCGGAACGUGUCCUGUAGUGGGGGAUAGCCCGGCGAAAGCCGGAUUAAUACCGCAUACGAUCUACGGAAGAAAGCGGGGGAUCCUUCGGGACCUCGCGCUAUAGGGGCGGCCGAUGGCAGAUUAGCUAGUUGGUGGGGUAAAGGCCUACCAAGGCGACGAUCUGUAGCUGGUCUGAGAGGACGACCAGCCACACUGGGACUGAGACACGGCCCAGACWCCUACGGGAGGCAGCAGUGGGGAAUUUUGGACAAUGGGGGAAACCCWGAUCCAGCAAUGCCGCGUGUGUGAAGAAGGCCU
Molecule: ribosomal RNA, 317 nt
Filed under: Caballeronia glathei
Lineage: Bacteria; Pseudomonadati; Pseudomonadota; Betaproteobacteria; Burkholderiales; Burkholderiaceae
Description: bacterial SSU rRNA
Source: RNAcentral